Halichondria panicea is the source of this 489-nucleotide long non-coding RNA. RefSeq lists it as uncharacterized. NCBI's taxonomy places the organism in Eukaryota, Metazoa, Porifera, Demospongiae, Suberitida, Halichondriidae. The transcript has 3 exons. The record is from RefSeq and is a predicted model, not a curated record.
UCCUCCUCUGAUGGGGAGGAAGGAGAGUUGGUUAGUGAGCACAGCUAUAUAGUCUGACACACACUGACUUACUGGUAGAAAGCAAUGGGCUCCGCAUUUGCUCUCACUUGAGUGUGGUGGAACCUGCAUGUAUACCAAAAGAUUGCAAGAAAAUUAAGACAAAUUCUAAAGGAGUCACCUGAAGUCUCCCUCCUUCUUUUCCUGCUGGAAGAUGGGACUCAUGAUGACUUUGUUGAUGAGUAUGCUCAGAGCAAAGAACAAGUAGACACCCAACACCCCAUACCAACCCAGUCUGCAUGGACGCAGUUGAUGAAGUACUAUAUACGUACUGAAAUAACAAUAAACCAGGAGCAGUAAGCGGUGAGAAACGGUUGUAUUAUGAUCUUGGGUAACAGUGACUGAUCUGGUUACAGAACCUGUCCACAUCCUGAGUGAUUCGCUGAUCCCUGCAAGAUAAAAAGAAUUCAGCGAAUUCAGCAAACACAUCAC